Molecule: non-coding RNA, 24 nt
Filed under: Arabidopsis thaliana (thale cress)
Lineage: Eukaryota; Viridiplantae; Streptophyta; Magnoliopsida; Brassicales; Brassicaceae
Source: RNAcentral
AUAAACGGCGCUGAGACAUCAAUC